UUUAUUUGAUGGCCACCUAAUAAUUGUCAUUAGGUGCAUAUACCCUUGGGGGACCAUAUAUAGGAUAUUCUAUUUAAUAUUGAAACAACUUUUUAUUUCUUUUUGGUUUGGUAGAGAGAUGGAGAGCCUAGCUAGCUAGCUAGCCAUGAUAGCCACUUGAGAUUUUCUUUAAGAUCCCCCACUUGAUAGCUUUCUAUGUUGAUAUAUCAUGGAUCAUGCCCCAUGUAGGUGAAAUGAAUUGAAUUCAUCUACUUUGCUAUUGAGAGAGAUUAAUGACGAUGAUGAUGAUGUAUGGGAGAAAGAAAGAAAGGAAAGCGAUGUUGGUGAGGUUCAAUCCGAAGACGGAUUUACAUGGUAUAAUCCAGUAAAAUACGAUCUCAGAUUGAGCCACGCCAAUAUCACUUUUUCAUUUAUAUCCAUAUUCAUCAUCAUCAUAACAUCGAUUCUCUCCUCUCACAAUAUUAUUCCCUUCUCAUAUCCAUAUGGAUAUAUGUGUAUAUAUCCAUCUUGAUUAAUAUUCUAUAUAUACUUAUUGCAAACAAUUAUUUCCUUCUUUGAAUCAAUCUUGAUAGAAGUUCUAGCUGCUGGUGCUAAUUGCAAACAAGAUCAGUGCAGUGAGCAUGGAAAUGAAAAUCAAGGUCGAGAAAUUCGAGUAAUCAAGAGAGCAGGUUGAUCUCAUCAUUGGAUUCACGAUUCAAGGUGGUUGAUACUCAUGCUUAUAAGGCAGGACUAAGAGAGUAUGGUUUGAAGGUAAUAAACCUUUGUAUUUCAUGACCAUGAAUGGAAGUGAGGUAUGGGUGACACCUAUGCCUGCUUACUACAUUGUAUAGUAGUUUUCGUGAUAGUAGAUGUUCUACUCUGCUAAUCACCGAUGGUUAAUUUGCCAGGCAAUAGAUGCAAGUGCAAAAUGAAACUUGGGCAAUUGAUUAAUCCUAGUUGUGAUCGUAAUUGUUAAACAGAAAAGGUGAAUAUACAUGUAUUGUUAUUGGUGUUUUCUUUUAUUUUAAAUAUUAUUGCAUCUUU
Arachis stenosperma is the source of this 1023-nucleotide long non-coding RNA. RefSeq lists it as uncharacterized. Lineage: Eukaryota; Viridiplantae; Streptophyta; Magnoliopsida; Fabales; Fabaceae. The transcript is spliced from 3 exons. The record is from RefSeq and is a predicted model, not a curated record.